CCUACGGGAGGCAGCAGUGGGGAAUAUUGCGCAAUGGGCGCAAGCCUGACGCAGCGACGCCGCGUGAGGGAUGAAGGUCUUCGGAUCGUAAACCUCUGUCAGCAGGGAAGAACGGUCACUGUGUUAAUCAGCAGUGAAUUGCCGGUACCUGCAGAGGAAGCACCGGCUAACUCCGUGCCAGCAGCCGCGGUAAUACGGAGGGUGCGAGCGUUAAUCGGAAUUACUGGGCGUAAAGCGCUCGUAGGCGGUAUGUCAAGUCAAGGGGGAAAUCCCCGGGCUCAACGUGGGAACUGCCUUUGAAACUGGCAAACUGGAGUGUGUGAGAGGAUAGUGGAAUUCCAGGUGUAGGAGUGAAAUCCGUAGAGAUCUGGAGGAACAUCAGUGGCGAAGGCGACUAUCUGGCACAUAACUGACGCUGAGGAGCGAAAGCGUGGGUAGCAAACAGGAUUAGAUACCCUUGUAGUC
Molecule: ribosomal RNA, 465 nt
Filed under: uncultured bacterium
Lineage: Bacteria
Description: partial 16S ribosomal RNA
Rfam family: Bacterial small subunit ribosomal RNA
Source: RNAcentral